UACGGAGGGUGCAAGCGUUAUCCGGAUUUAUUGGGUUUAAAGGGUCCGUAGGCGGACUCGUAAGUCAGUGGUGAAAUCUCAUAGCUUAACUAUGAAACUGCCAUUGAUACUGCGGGUCUGAGUAAAGUAGAAGUGGCUGGAAUAAGUAGUGUAGCGGUGAAAUGCAUAGAUAUUACUUAGAACACCAAUUGCGAAGGCAGGUCACUAUGUUUUAACUGACGCUGAUGGACGAAAGCGUGGGGGAGCGAACAGG
This 253-nucleotide ribosomal RNA is filed under the name uncultured bacterium. RNAcentral describes it as "partial 16S ribosomal RNA". It matches the Rfam family "Bacterial small subunit ribosomal RNA", at positions 524 to 776 of the family's 1533-position model. The record is from RNAcentral.